UACGAAGGGGGCGAGCGUUGUUCGGAAUUACUGGGCGUAAAGGGCGCGUAGGCGGCGACCCAAGUCAGAUGUGAAAUCCCCGGGCUUAACCUGGGAACUGCAUUUGUGACUGCAUGGCUGGAGUGCGGCAGAGGGGGAUGGAAUUCCGCGUGUAGCAGUGAAAUGCGUAGAUAUGCGGAGGAACACCGAUGGCGAAGGCAAUCCCCUGGGCCUGCACUGACGCUCAUGCACGAAAGCGUGGGGAGCAAACAGG
Molecule: ribosomal RNA, 253 nt
Filed under: uncultured bacterium
Lineage: Bacteria
Description: partial 16S ribosomal RNA
Rfam family: Bacterial small subunit ribosomal RNA
Source: RNAcentral